This 501-nucleotide ribosomal RNA is filed under the name uncultured bacterium. Its description in RNAcentral is "partial 16S ribosomal RNA". It matches the Rfam family "Bacterial small subunit ribosomal RNA", at positions 30 to 523 of the family's 1533-position model. The record is from RNAcentral.
AUUGAACGCUGGCGGCAGGCUUAACACAUGCAAGUCGAGCGGAGAGAGGUAGCUUGCUACUGAUCUUAGCGGCGGACGGGUGAGUAAUGCUUAGGAAUCUGCCUAUUAGUGGGGGACAACAUUUCGAAAGGAAUGCUAAUACCGCAUACGUCCUACGGGAGAAAGCAGGGGAUCUUCGGACCUUGCGCUAAUAGGUGAGCCUAAGUCGGAUUAGCUAGUUGGUGGGGUAAAGGCCUACCAAGGCGACGAUCUGUAGCGGGGCUGAGAGGAUGAUCCGCCACACUGGGACUGAGACACGGCCCAGACUCCUACGGGAGGCAGCAGUGGGGAAUAUUGGACAAUGGGCGCAAGCCUGAUCCAGCCAUGCCGCGUGUGUGAAGAAGGCCUUAUGGUUGUAAAGCACUUUAAGCGAGGAGGAGGCUACUUUAGUUAAUACCUAGGGAUAGUGGACGUUACUCGCAGAAUAAGCACCGGCUAACUCUGUGCCAGCCGCCGCCGUAA